UAGGGAAUCUUCCACAAUGGGCGAAAGCCUGAUGGAGCAACGCCGCGUGUGUGAUGAAGGGUUUCGGCUCGUAAAACACUGUUGUAAGAGAAGAAUGACAUUGAGAGUAACUGUUCAAUGUGUGACGGUAUCCUACCAGAAAGGACGGCUAAAUACGUGCCAC
Molecule: ribosomal RNA, 163 nt
Filed under: uncultured bacterium
Lineage: Bacteria
Description: partial 16S rRNA
Rfam family: Bacterial small subunit ribosomal RNA
Source: RNAcentral